This 1489-nucleotide ribosomal RNA is filed under the name Lactiplantibacillus pentosus. RNAcentral describes it as "bacterial SSU rRNA". It matches the Rfam family "Bacterial small subunit ribosomal RNA". The record is from RNAcentral. Lineage: Bacteria; Bacillati; Bacillota; Bacilli; Lactobacillales; Lactobacillaceae.
GACGAACGCUGGCGGCGUGCCUAAUACAUGCAAGUCGAACGAACUCUGGUAUUGAUUGGUGCUUGCAUCAUGAUUUACAUUUGAGUGAGUGGCGAACUGGUGAGUAACACGUGGGAAACCUGCCCAGAAGCGGGGGAUAACACCUGGAAACAGAUGCUAAUACCGCAUAACAACUUGGACCGCAUGGUCCGAGUUUGAAAGAUGGCUUCGGCUAUCACUUUUGGAUGGUCCCGCGGCGUAUUAGCUAGAUGGUGGGGUAACGGCUCACCAUGGCAAUGAUACGUAGCCGACCUGAGAGGGUAAUCGGCCACAUUGGGACUGAGACACGGCCCAAACUCCUACGGGAGGCAGCAGUAGGGAAUCUUCCACAAUGGACGAAAGUCUGAUGGAGCAACGCCGCGUGAGUGAAGAAGGGUUUCGGCUCGUAAAACUCUGUUGUUAAAGAAGAACAUAUCUGAGAGUAACUGUUCAGGUAUUGACGGUAUUUAACCAGAAAGCCACGGCUAACUACGUGCCAGCAGCCGCGGUAAUACGUAGGUGGCAAGCGUUGUCCGGAUUUAUUGGGCGUAAAGCGAGCGCAGGCGGUUUUUUAAGUCUGAUGUGAAAGCCUUCGGCUCAACCGAAGAAGUGCAUCGGAAACUGGGAAACUUGAGUGCAGAAGAGGACAGUGGAACUCCAUGUGUAGCGGUGAAAUGCGUAGAUAUAUGGAAGAACACCAGUGGCGAAGGCGGCUGUCUGGUCUGUAACUGACGCUGAGGCUCAAAAGUAUGGGUAGCAAACAGGAUUAGAUACCCUGGUAGUCCAUACCGUAAACGAUGAAUGCUAAGUGUUGGAGGGUUUCCGCCCUUCAGUGCUGCAGCUAACGCAUUAAGCAUUCCGCCUGGGGAGUACGGCCGCAAGGCUGAAACUCAAAGGAAUUGACGGGGGCCCGCACAAGCGGUGGAGCAUGUGGUUUAAUUCGAAGCUACGCGAAGAACCUUACCAGGUCUUGACAUACUAUGCAAAUCUAAGAGAUUAGACGUUCCCUUCGGGGACAUGGAUACAGGUGGUGCAUGGUUGUCGUCAGCUCGUGUCGUGAGAUGUUGGGUUAAGUCCCGCAACGAGCGCAACCCUUAUUAUCAGUUGCCAGCAUUAAGUUGGGCACUCUGGUGAGACUGCCGGUGACAAACCGGAGGAAGGUGGGGAUGACGUCAAAUCAUCAUGCCCCUUAUGACCUGGGCUACACACGUGCUACAAUGGAUGGUACAACGAGUUGCGAACUCGCGAGAGUAAGCUAAUCUCUUAAAGCCAUUCUCAGUUCGGAUUGUAGGCUGCAACUCGCCUACAUGAAGUCGGAAUCGCUAGUAAUCGCGGAUCAGCAUGCCGCGGUGAAUACGUUCCCGGGCCUUGUACACACCGCCCGUCGCACCAUGAGAGUUUGUAACACCCAAAGUCGGUGGGGUAACCUUUUAGGAACCAGCCGCCUAAGGUGGGACAGAUGAUUAGGGUG